Molecule: microRNA precursor, 103 nt
Filed under: Marmota monax (woodchuck)
Lineage: Eukaryota; Metazoa; Chordata; Mammalia; Rodentia; Sciuridae
Source: RNAcentral
AAUGGAAUUACUGGCUCACAUGGUACUUCUAUUUUCAGUUUUUUGAGGAAUCUCCAGAAUGUUUUCCAUAGUGGUUGCACCAAUUUUCAUUCCCGUCAGCAAU